AAUGGUACCAAACCACCACUGGAUGCAGAUGUAAAUUUGGAAGCAAUUGCUGGUGACCUUCGCUGUGAUUGCUAUACGGGCGCAGAUCUCUCUGCUUUGGUACGAGAAGCUUCUAUCUGUGCCCUGAGACAGGAAAUGGCAAGACAGAAGAGUGGAAAUGAAAAAGGCAAAUGGAUCCAUUCGCUGUCUUCAUCAUGAGUCUGGGCUGCUUAUCAAUUCUGGAAAAACGUAUUCUUUUGCUAAGGUGAACUCAAGGUUAGUCAUAAGCAUUUUGAAGAAGCUUUCAAGAAAGUAAGAUCAUCUAUAUCAAAAAAGGAUCAAAUCAUGUAUGAACGUUUGCAGGAGUCCCUCAGCCGGUGAUGUCUCCAGCAGCCGGCUUAGAGGAGCUAGCCCAUCAAGCCGGCAGAGAAUCCCCCACACGCUCUGAAGGACCCACUUUCAGCUGGACACAGGCGCGGCCUCAUGUAAACAUUUUAUUUUCAAAUGAAUGAGGCCAAGCUGAAGCUGAAGCUGAAGAUUCUUCCCAUCUGGCCAGCCUUGUGUGAAAAUGCCUUCUUCCUCUUUAAGAAAAAGGACAAUUUUUAAACUGCUGAAAUAAAAUGACUGUUACAUUUUUCAAAUAAAACUUUUACUUUGAACUAUUUUGACUAUA
RNAcentral lists this long non-coding RNA (652 nucleotides) under Homo sapiens (human). Its description in RNAcentral is "non-protein coding lnc-NVL-4:2". The record is from RNAcentral. Lineage: Eukaryota; Metazoa; Chordata; Mammalia; Primates; Hominidae.